AUGGCGCUCCUCAUCGAGGUAUCAUGCCCGCUCUACUGCAUCACUGAGGCCGUCGAGCGCGAGGGCAUGCACUCCCGGCCGCAGCAGUGGUUCCCGAUCUGCGCCGCGGCCAGGGGGAGCUGCCGUGCCGGGACCGCGCGGCAAGCAUGCAGACCUGCGACUCCUCCGACGGGAGGAGGAGAACAUGGUGGCGGCGGGCCAGUGGGAAGGGGGCGUCCGGGUCGACGAGGCGCUGCGAUACGAGGCGAAGGACGAGGACGAGGUGGGGAUCACCGUUUGCACGCACGGGUAGAUCGGCGGCGAGCCCGACGCCAGCGCUACCAACAUCGGCACCAGUAG
RNAcentral lists this ribosomal RNA (339 nucleotides) under Triticum aestivum (bread wheat). RNAcentral's name for it is "partial small subunit ribosomal RNA". The record is from RNAcentral. Lineage: Eukaryota; Viridiplantae; Streptophyta; Magnoliopsida; Poales; Poaceae.